This 433-nucleotide ribosomal RNA is filed under the name uncultured bacterium. Its description in RNAcentral is "partial 16S ribosomal RNA". It matches the Rfam family "Bacterial small subunit ribosomal RNA", at positions 29 to 507 of the family's 1533-position model. The record is from RNAcentral.
AGCGAACGCUGGCGGCAGGCUUAACACAUGCAAGUCGAGCGGGCCCUUCGGGGUCAGCGGCAGACGGGUGAGUAACACGUGGGAAUGUACCCUUUGGUUCGGAAUAACGCUGGGAAACUAGCGCUAAUACCGGAUACGCCCUUUUGGGGAAAGGCUUGCUGCCGAAGGAUCGGCCCGCGUCUGAUUAGCUAGUUGGUGGGGUAAUGGCCUACCAAGGCGACGAUCAGUAGCUGGUCUGAGAGGAUGAUCAGCCACACUGGGACUGAGACACGGCCCAGACUCCUACGGGAGGCAGCAGUGGGGAAUAUUGGACAAUGGGCGCAAGCCUGAUCCAGCCAUGCCGCGUGAGUGAUGAAGGCCUUAGGGUUGUAAAGCUCUUUUGUCCGGGACGAUAAUGACGGUACCGGAAGAAUAAGCCCCGGCUAACUUCGUG